AACGAACGCUGGCGGCAUGCCUAACACAUGCAAGUCGAACGAGACCUUCGGGCCUAGUGGCGCACGGGUGCGUAACGCGUGGGAACAUGCCUUUAGGUUUGGAAUAACUCCCCGAAAGGGGUGCUAAUACCGGCUAAUGUCCUCGGACCAAAGAUUUAUCGCCUUUGGAUGGGCCCGCGUGGGAUUAGCUAGUUGGUAGGGUAAAAGCCUACCAAGGCGACGAUCCAUAGCUGGUCUGAGAGGAUGAUCAGCCACACUGGGACUGAGACACGGCCCAGACUCCUACGGGAGGCAGCAGUGGGGAAUAUUGGACAAUGGGCGAAAGCCUGAUCCAGCAAUGCCGCGUGAGUGAUGAAGGCCUUAGGGUUGUAAAGCUCUUUUACCCGGGAUGAUAAUGACAGUACCGGGAGAAUAAGCUCCGGCUAACUCCGUG
RNAcentral lists this ribosomal RNA (433 nucleotides) under uncultured bacterium. RNAcentral describes it as "partial 16S ribosomal RNA". It matches the Rfam family "Bacterial small subunit ribosomal RNA", at positions 29 to 507 of the family's 1533-position model. The record is from RNAcentral.